GAUGAACGCUGGCGGCGUGCCUAAUACAUGCAAGUCGAGCGAACGGACGAGAAGCUUGCUUCUCUGAUGUUAGCGGCGGACGGGUGAGUAACACGUGGAUAACCUACCUAUAAGACUGGGAUAACUUCGGGAAACCGGAGCUAAUACCGGAUAAUAUUUUGAACCGCAUGGUUCAAAAGUGAAAGACGGUCUUGCUGUCACUUAUAGAUGGAUCCGCGCUGCAUUAGCUAGUUGGUAAGGUAACGGCUUACCAAGGCAACGAUGCAUAGCCGACCUGAGAGGGUGAUCGGCCACACUGGAACUGAGACACGGUCCAGACUCCUACGGGAGGCAGCAGUAGGGAAUCUUCCGCAAUGGGCGAAAACCUGACGGAGCAACGCCGCGUGAGUGAUGAAGGUCUUCGGAUCGUAAAACUCUGUUAUUAGGGAAGAACAUAUGUGUAAGUAACUGUGCACAUCUUGACGGUACCUAAUCAGAAAGCCACGGCUAACUACGUGCCAGCAGCCGCGGUAAUACGUAGGUGGCAAGCGUUAUCCGGAAUUACUGGGCGUAAAGCGCGCGUAGGCGGUUUUUUAAGUCUGAUGUGAAAGCCCACGGCUCAACCGUGGAGGGUCAUUGGAAACUGGAAAACUUGAGUGCAGAAGAGGAAAGUGGAAUUCCAUGUGUAGCGGUGAAAUGCGCAGAGAUAUGGAGGAACACCAGUGGCGAAGGCGACUUUCUGGUCUGUAACUGACGCUGAUGUGCGAAAGCGUGGGGAUCAAACAGGAUUAGAUACCCUGGUAGUCCACGCCGUAAACGAUGAGUGCUAAGUGUUAGGGGGUUUCCGCCCCUUAGUGCUGCAGCUAACGCAUUAAGCACUCCGCCUGGGGAGUACGACCGCAAGGUUGAAACUCAAAGGAAUUGACGGGGACCCGCACAAGCGGUGGAGCAUGUGGUUUAAUUCGAAGCAACGCGAAGAACCUUACCAAAUCUUGACAUCCUUUGACAACUCUAGAGAUAGAGCUUUCCCCUUCGGGGGACAAAGUGACAGGUGGUGCAUGGUUGUCGUCAGCUCGUGUCGUGAGAUGUUGGGUUAAGUCCCGCAACGAGCGCAACCCUUAAGCUUAGUUGCCAUCAUUAAGUUGGGCACUCUAAGUUGACUGCCGGUGACAAACCGGAGGAAGGUGGGGAUGACGUCGAAUCAUCAUGCCCCUUAUGAUUUGGGCUACACACGUGCUACAAUGGACAAUACAAAGGGCAGCGAAACCGCGAGGUCAAGCAAAUCCCAUAAAGUUGUUCUCAGUUCGGAUUGUAGUCUGCAACUCGACUACAUGAGGCUGGAAUCGCUAGUAAUCGUAGAUCAGCAUGCUACGGUGAAUACGUUCCCGGGUCU
Molecule: ribosomal RNA, 1372 nt
Filed under: uncultured bacterium
Lineage: Bacteria
Description: bacterial SSU rRNA
Rfam family: Bacterial small subunit ribosomal RNA
Source: RNAcentral